UACAGAGGGGGCAAGCGUUGUUCGGAAUCACUGGGCUUAAAGGGCGCGUAGGCGGACCACCAAGUCCGGGGUGAAAUCCUCCGGCUUAACCGGAGAAUUGCCUGGGAUACUGGUGGUCUUGAGGGAGGUAGGGGCACGCGGAACUUCCGGUGGAGCGGUGAAAUGCGUUGAUAUCGGAAGGAACGCCGGUGGCGAAAGCGGCGUGCUGGCCCUCUUCUGACGCUGAGGCGCGAAAGCCAGGGGAGCGAACGGG
This 253-nucleotide ribosomal RNA is filed under the name uncultured bacterium. Its description in RNAcentral is "partial 16S ribosomal RNA". It matches the Rfam family "Bacterial small subunit ribosomal RNA", at positions 524 to 776 of the family's 1533-position model. The record is from RNAcentral.